RNAcentral lists this ribosomal RNA (497 nucleotides) under uncultured bacterium. Its description in RNAcentral is "partial 16S ribosomal RNA". It matches the Rfam family "Bacterial small subunit ribosomal RNA", at positions 28 to 507 of the family's 1533-position model. The record is from RNAcentral.
GAUGAACGCUGGCGGCGUGUCUAAUACAUGCAAGUCGAGCGAACAGACGAGGAGCUUGCUCCUUUGACGUUAGCGGCGGACGGGUGAGUAACACGUAGGUAACCUACCUAUAAGACUGGGAUAACUUCGGGAAACCGGAGCUAAUACCGGAUAAUAUUUCGAACCGCAUGGUUCGAUAGUGAAAGAUGGCUUUGCUAUCACUUAUAGAUGGACCUGCGCCGUAUUAGCUAGUUGGUAAGGUAACGGCUUACCAAGGCAACGAUACGUAGCCGACCUGAGAGGGUGAUCGGCCACACUGGAACUGAGACACGGUCCAGACUCCUACGGGAGGCAGCAGUAGGGAAUCUUCCGCAAUGGGCGAAAGCCUGACGGAGCAACGCCGCGUGAGUGAUGAAGGUCUUCGGAUCGUAAAACUCUGUUAUUAGGGAAGAACAAACGUGUAAGUAACUGUGCACGUCUUGACGGUACCUAAUCAGAAAGCCACGGCUAACUACGUG